Molecule: ribosomal RNA, 512 nt
Filed under: uncultured bacterium
Lineage: Bacteria
Description: bacterial SSU rRNA
Rfam family: Bacterial small subunit ribosomal RNA
Source: RNAcentral
AGCGAACGUUAGCGGCGGGCCUAACACAUGCAAGUCGAACGCGAAAGGUCUUCGGACUGAGUAGAGUGGCGCACGGGUGAGUAACACGUAGGUAAUCUACCCUUUGGCGGGGGAUAACGUUCCGAAAGGAGCGCUAAUACCGCAUAAGACCACGGAGUCUCCGGACGCUGUGGGAAAAGGUGGCCUCUUCUUGAAAGCUACCACCGAAGGAUGAGCCUGCGUCCCAUCAGCUAGUUGGUAAGGUAAUGGCUUACCAAGGCGAAGACGGGUAGCUGGUUUGAGAGAAUGAUCAGCCACACUGGCACUGGAACACGGGCCAGACUCCUACGGGAGGCAGCAGUGAGGAAUAUUGGGCAAUGGGCGAAAGCCUGACCCAGCCACGCCGCGUGAGUGAUGAAGGCCCUCGGGUCGUAAAGCUCUGUGGAGAGGGACGAAAAACCCUGGUUUCAAAUAGGCUCCAGGCUUGACGGUACCUCUUUAGCAAGCACCGGCUAACUCUGUGCCAGCAGCCG